GUUCUCCCCGGAGCUUCUCUUUUCCCUCCGUUUCAGGUCCUUGACCACUCGAUUCAGAGACAAGAUCGUUGACAGCUAAGAUCGGCCAAAUCGUGCACCAUCAGGACAUAUUAGGCUCUAUGAUUCAUCUUUCCUGUGUCUCCGAUGAAGAGGGGUUCUAUACCACCAUUUUCCACGUAGAUUUUGGGGCAAUACAGGGAGAGCAACUACAGCUUGCAGGCUUGACGGUUCAGACCUUGCGGCCUCAGCCGCGGAGCCUGUGGAGAGUGGAAACUUGGCGGAAAAGGAAGUAGGAGAUAAAUAGAUGAUGGUGGUGAUGAUUUAUAGUGUUAAGGCAGAGGUGGAGGAGAUGGGAGUUGUUAGUCUUGCAACAAUGCCGCACCCAAAGAGACGGUAACCGAUCAGCUGAUCCUACAUACCAGUCCCUGGAAGCACCGACACUGGCACAAGAAAAUGAGGCCAAAGACAACUCCUUUCGGAUGCAGGCAGGCCGAGUGGCCAAUGCUGCUAUUCCGCGGGGUUGACUCAGCUCUUCGCUGACGGAGACCCCGUCAACGAUAAACUCAGCCAACGCGUUAUUGUCCAGAACAACCAUUUGGGUCUAUUAAAAUAUCUGAAAUUUGCAGUCUCAUUGUUGGUGUGAUUUGAAGUGUGUACUACUUUCUGUAGGGCCCUCUUCUCUGAAGUGGGGUUAUGGAAGAAGUAACCGAGAAGGGUCUCGGAAGAUAAGAUAGACGUUUCUGGAAGCUGCAAUCGAUGCUAAGGAAUUAUAGAAGAAGCCUGAGCUUUUAUAUUACUGAUAAAAGACAGAAAAAAAAAGAGCUUGUCCCUUACUUCACUAGCAAUACUAUCUUUUGGGUGUUCUCAGACAUGGCGGAAGCAGUUCUUUCCACUCUUUUGCAGGCUAUAUUUGAGAAGACAGUGUCUGAGGUAUUUGAAGAGUUUGGAUUGUUUGGUGGCGCUAAGAAGGAGGUGAAAAAGCUUCGGAGCACAUUAUCAACAAUUCAAGCUGUGCUUGAAGAUGCGAAGGACCGACAGGUAACUGAUAAGGCACUAAGAAUUUGGCUGAGGAACCUGAAAGAUGUAGCUUAUGAUGCGGAUGAUUUGUUGGACGAAUAUUUGAUUGAAGCUCUGCACAAGAAAGUGGAGACUCAUCAUAUUCAUGCGACGAUUCGAGAUCAUAUAAGAAAACAGGUGCGGAACUUCUUUUCAACUUCAAAUCCUUUUAUUUUUCACUAUAGGAUGAGACGUCAGUUGAAGGAGAUUGGUGAAAGGCUAGAUUUAAUUGCCGGUGAGAGGUUCAAGUUUCAUUUGAAAGAUAGAAUUAUUGAUAGGAGAGAUGGGUUAAUUGGGAGAUUGCAGACUGAUUCUUCUUUAGUUGAAUCAGAAAUUUAUGGAAGAGGAGAUGAUAAAGAGAAAAUAAUUAAGUUUCUAAUUCAUGAAGGAAAUGAUGAUGAUGUAUCAGUCAUCCCCAUUGUUGGCAUGGGGGGCCUAGGAAUGACAACACUUGCAAAAUUGGCCUACAAUGAUGAGAGGGUUGUGAGACAUUUUGAACAAAGAAUUUGGGUUUGUGUCUCAGUGGAUUUUGAUGUUAGAAUGCUUGUAAGAGCUAUUAUAGAAUCGGCAACUGGCAAGAGAUGUGAUUGUUUAGAUAUGGAACCAAUGCAGCGUCGCCUUAAAGAAAUGUUAACCAGGAAGAGAUUUUUACUAGUUUUAGAUGAUGUAUGGAAUGAAGAUUAUGAGAAGUGGGAUAGAAUGAAACUUCUUCUAAGAUGUGGUGCUGGGGGAAGUAAGAUCAUUGUAACUACUCGUAGUGAGAAGGUUGCAUUGAUUACUGGCACAGUCACUUCUCACGGUCUGGAUGGUUUACCUGAAGAUGCUUGUUGGUCUCUAUUCAAGCAACGAGCAUUUCAGUUUGAGAAUGAAAAAGAAUCCUCAAGUUUAGUAUCAAUUGGGAAGGAAAUUGUGAAAAAGUGUAGGGGUGUGCCUCUAGCAGCAAAGACCCUUGGAAGUUUGAUGUGCUUUAAAAGAGAAAAAAGUGAGUGGUUAUCUGUUAAAGACAGUGACAUCUGGGAUAUAAUUGGAGGUGAAAAUGGAAUUUUACCUGCCUUAAGAUUGAGUUAUGAUAAUCUACCAUCAUAUCUGCAACAAUGUUUUGCAUAUUGCUCAAUAUUUCCUAAGGAUUAUAAGAUGAAAAGAGAGAAACUCAUCCAUCUUUGGGUUGCAGAAGGCUUCGUUCAGGCAUCUGGAGGAAAUAAGCCAUUAGAAGAAGUUGGUAAUGAGUAUUUCAAUGAGCUAUUAUGGAGAUCAUUUUUUCAAGACGUAAUAAAAGAGAGUGAUGGAAUAAUACUGGAGUGCAAGAUGCAUGACCUUGUUCAUGAUCUUGCAAGGUCUGUUGCAGGUAUUGAUUGUUCAAUUGUGAAUGCUAACAAGCAAGUAACAAUUCCAAUAGGAGUACGCCAUUCCUCAUUGGUUUGUAAUGAAAUGGUGUUAGCACUUCCAGGUGUUCUCCCUAAUGCAAAGAACCUACGCUCGUUCCUUUUAUUAUUUGGUUGGCGCAAAAUCUCAAGGGUCUCACGUAAUCUGAUAUUAAGUUUUAGAUCCUUGCGUGUGUUAGAUUUGAGCUACAGUGGAAUUAAGAAAUUGUCCAAGUCAAUUGCUACACUGAAACAUUUAAGGUACCUUGACCUUUCAGGCAAUUUUAUCAAAAUGUUACCCAAAUCUAUUAGCAGCCUUUGUAAUCUCCAGACCUUGAAUCUCAUACAAUGUCAUCAACUUCAAAGGUUACCCAAAGACAUGUGGAAAUUGACCAAUCUUAGACAUCUUGAUAUACAUGGAUGUUGGUCAUUAGAAAAGUUGCCAACAGAUAUUGGAAAGCUUAGGUUCCUUCAAACAUUGCCAAUAUUCAUAGUGGAUGAGGUACAUGGAUGUGGCAUAGAAGAGUUAUCGAGAUUAAACCUUCAAGGUGAAUUAAUGAUUAAAAACCUUCAGAAUGUGAGAAAUGCAGCAUGUGCAAAGCAGGCAAACAUGCAAGAGAAGAGAAAGCUUCAAUUUCUGGGAUUAUCAUGGAAGACUUGGAAGCGUGAUGAUGGUACAAAUGUUGAUGGUGCAAGUGUUCGAGAUAAUGUUGAGCGUGUGCUUGAAUACCUCCAACCACACCCAGAUUUAAAAAGUUUAGCACAUCUUCAUGAUAACAAGGAGAUGGCGGAAAGAAAAAACAUGUUUUUGUUAGAAGAAGAUGUACUACACUAGGUCCAGAUGGUUACCAUAGCAUGGCAGGACACAGUCAAGUGGCAAUGGUGGAAUCAUCAGGAACACAGAUGUUCUCUCUAAGGUUGCCGUUGAUGAUCUGUUCUACCUCUGAUCUGUGAUCUAUUUUUGGAGUGAAAAUUCUGUAGAGGAUUGGAAGUUGGAAUCUGAGUUUGGUGGAAUGGAUCUUGAAUCUGCUUCUCAGAACUGGGAAUCUAUUUUGGUGGGUUUAGUUUCUUUGCGUGUUUGUUGAAUUUUAGUUUGAAUGUCGACUGUCAUGUUGGUUGGUAUUUUAGGGUUUUGGAUUCCUUUGGACUUUAAACUUUUAUGCUUGAUGUGUUGUAGUUAUUUAGUUUCGAGGCAUAAAGGAACUAAUCUAUAUUUCUACUAAAACUCAGUUUUCUGUGUUUCUGUUGAGUAUAUUAGAAUAUAGAGUAACACCAGUGUUACUGGACGGACAUUUCUUAAUUUUAAGUGGUUUUCAAUAAAUAUUUGAUUUUCUUUUCCUGUUAUUGCUGCUCUGUCGAUUGCUAAUGUAAAAAGAAUUGAUGCUCUGCUAUUCUCUGGGUUGUAAGUUUUUUCCUUCUUUCACUCUUUUCGACAAGGAAUUUAAGUUAUUGGUCCCUCUUGCAUGUUUGAUUUUGGACUUAAUCUUUUUAUUUUAUUGCUUCUGCUUGUUUGUUUGCAAAUGGUUUUCAUUGAUUUUUUCUUCUUUUGAAUUGUAUGUUUUAUGCAUGAUGUUUGGAGGAGGAUUUAACCAGUUGGUUGAUUUUACUGAAUUAUUUGAUGUUUUUUAUGCAAUUUGAUCCUUUUGCAAUUUCUUUGCUGGGGCUACGUCUGCAAAAUCUAUACUUUUGCUCUUUUUAUUGAUUUUGGUUUUGUUUCCUUAUUUGGUUUCAAUUCUCUUGUUCCCUUCACACUGUAUUAAAAUCUUCUAAGCUCAGGACCAUAAAUUGAUUUUUAAGGAUUUUCACCAUGCCUUUUUAUUCUUUUUAGCUAUUCUUAGUUUUGAAUUCUUUCUCAUUUUCGGGAAAAUGGCAUUAUCUAAUUUCCAAAUUAUUAUUAUAAUUUAUUGCGUUUAGCUCUUUCCCCAUCUUUUGUGUGUUUUCUAUUAAAUUCAUUCCUGUCAUUUUGAUUCGUAAAGGGUUAAAUGGUCUCAUGGUUCCCUUCUUUGCAGAAAGCACACAAGACCACACUUUCUGGCCUACCAGAGUUUUGGGGUCAUGUAUGGAGACCUGAGCACAUCCCCCAUGUAUGUCUACAAAAGCACUUUCUCAGGGAGGUUCCACCUUCACAAGGAUGAUAAUGAAAUUUUUGGGGUACUCUUUUUAGUUUUCUGGACUUUGACUCUGAUCCCUUCACGAGGAUUAUAUUUGUAUUAAGGUCGGAUUUUAUUUCUAGUAGUGCAUUUGUGAGAGCUUAUUCAAUAGCAUCCCUUGUUGAUGAAGCUCCUAGGGUGUUCAACGGGAUGCCCAAACCAGAUUUGCUUAUGUGGAAAUCAAUAGUUUCAGGUUAUGGGCCUUCUUGAUGCUGGGAUAAGGGCUUGGAAUGGUUUAGCAGAAUGCAGGAAAUAGGGGAAAGGCUAGAUGGGUAUACCAUGUUUGGAUUUCUCUCAGGUUUAUUGGAACCUAUCAUGCUUCAAGUUGGAAAGGGGAUUCAUGGUCUUUGUUUGGAAAAUGGAUUUGAGUCGUACACACAUGUGGGAAGUGCACUUGUGACUAUGUAUUCAAGGUGUGGUUACUUGAGUUCUGCUUAUAGAGCUUUUAAUAGUUGAUCUCAGCAUGAUUUGGUUCAAUGGUCUGCUCUCAUACUGGAUUCAUUCAAUCAGGAGCUUGUGAAGAAGCCAUGUUCUUGUUCAAGGAAAUGAAUUUCAAGGGCCAAAAAGCAGAUGCUAUUUCAAUUGCUUGUAGAAGUUGUCUAAAAACUAUGGCAGCAUUUGGUAAUGUAUCAAGGGAAGGUUUCUGGUGUUACCAGGUACCAGAAACAUUCCCAUGGAAUGUUACCAAAUGGUUCCUAAUAUACCUUAAUUUUGCAUCUCCCAUGUAAAGAUUUUGAAGGUCCCUUUGCUAAAUAAAGAUUUACCCUUUGAUGGUCUGAAUAGUCUAACAUGUUUUAUGCAACUAAUCCAAUACGUUUUCAAGAGUUAAAAUUUUCAUCUUCUGUCCCACAUUAUUUGGAGUUGAUACUGAGACAAUUGUCUUUAACAACAUUUAUAUGUAUGUACAUUAAGAUUGGAAGGGAAAGAAUUCAAUUCAUUUUAGGUCCUGGUGAUGCCAAUUCAGCAAAUACACUAUAUGAGUCAACUGGUUCAGAAUGCUAAUUGGACAACAACAAUAUUGUAGUAUUGGACUUAAACCAGUGUGAUACAAAAUCAGAUAUUUAUGUUUAAUUGUUCAAACAGAAAAGGCAAGUGAAAAUUGGCCAACAUAAAGGACAUUUAUGCUAAGUUUCCACUCAUCUCCUCUCCUCUGUAUAUUUAAGUCCAUUAUCAGAUAACCUCAGUGUUCAGAUAGUAUUUGGAAAGUAUAAUAGCCAUUCCUGAAAGAUACUGCCAAGACUCAAUUUCCAUUUAUGAACCCUCAUGCAGUUUCCUUUCUGUGGAGUUACUCUUUAAAGGCCCAGAUUUCAUGUUAUUAGUUCCAAAAAUUAAACCAUUUGAUGUU
Molecule: non-coding RNA, 5912 nt
Organism: Nelumbo nucifera (sacred lotus)
Lineage: Eukaryota; Viridiplantae; Streptophyta; Magnoliopsida; Proteales; Nelumbonaceae
Source: RefSeq, a predicted model, not a curated record